Molecule: long non-coding RNA, 204 nt
Filed under: Malus domestica (apple)
Lineage: Eukaryota; Viridiplantae; Streptophyta; Magnoliopsida; Rosales; Rosaceae
Description: long non-coding RNA (MDOM_LNC011473)
Source: RNAcentral
UUUGGGUUUUGUGUAUGGUGUUUGCAACAAUAACCAAUUUAACUUUUUUUUUUUAAAUUUUCCAUUGUCUCAUAACUAUAAGUCAAUUUUCAUAACCCAACAUUUUGUUUUUAAGUAUUCAAAAACCAAACUUGAAUUGCAGCCAAUAAACUUGAUCAAUUUUGUGAGUAACCCAGAUCUGGAAUUUGCUUCGAUUUGAUCCAU